GUGCUGCAUGGCUGUCGUCAGCUCGUGCCGUGAGGUGUUGGGUUAAGUCCCGCAACGAGCGCAACCCUCGCCUUUAGUUGCCAGCAUUCAGUUGGGCACUCUAAAGGGACUGCCGGUGAUAAGCCGAGAGGAAGGUGGGGAUGACGUCAAGUCCUCAUGGCCCUUACGGGCUGGGCUACACACGUGCUACAAUGGCGGUGACAAUGGGCAGCGAAGGGGCGACCUGGAGCGAAUCCCCAAAAGCCGUCUCAGUUCGGAUUGCACUCUGCAACUCGGGUGCAUGAAGUUGGAAUCGCUAGUAAUCGUGGAUCAGCAUGCCACGGUGAAUACGUUCCCGGGCCUUGUACACACCGCCCGUCACACCAUGGAAGCUGGUCACACCCAAAGUCGUUAUUCUAACCGUUUGGAGGAAGGCGCCUAAGGUAGGAUUGGUGACUGGGGUGAAGUCGUAACAAGGUAGCCGUACCGGAAG
Molecule: ribosomal RNA, 472 nt
Filed under: Heterosigma akashiwo
Lineage: Eukaryota; Raphidophyceae; Chattonellales; Chattonellaceae
Description: partial Bacterial small subunit ribosomal RNA
Rfam family: Bacterial small subunit ribosomal RNA
Source: RNAcentral